UGCGGGAUGGUGUAAUGGUAGCACGGCUGAUUCUGGAUCAGUUAGUCUAGGUUCGAAUCCUAGCCCCGCAGCCA
This 74-nucleotide transfer RNA is filed under the name Chloroflexota bacterium. RNAcentral's name for it is "Chloroflexi bacterium tRNA-Gln". It matches the Rfam family "tRNA". Rfam says of the family: Transfer RNA (tRNA) molecules are approximately 80 nucleotides in length. Lineage: Bacteria; Bacillati; Chloroflexota. The record is from RNAcentral. RNAcentral also lists the same sequence under 2 other names.